This 1232-nucleotide long non-coding RNA is filed under the name Cricetulus griseus (Chinese hamster). RNAcentral describes it as "lncRNA (ENSCGRG00015036393.1)". The record is from RNAcentral. Lineage: Eukaryota; Metazoa; Chordata; Mammalia; Rodentia; Cricetidae.
CACUAUUCCCUCUGUGAGUCUCCAUGUGUGAGGUUGUUUUCAGUGCCUAGCCUGAUAUUUGUUUGUAACAUGAAUAUAAACCCAGAGACAGAGAUGUUGGGGCUCAAGCUUCAAGCUGAAGCUCAGAAAAGCAAAGCAGCCAGCCACUAGCUCUUACUAAGCCUGAAAUGGCCAUCCUGCCUCCACAAAUUAUCAGACUGCAAUGCAGACCGCACUGCUCUCCACUGAGCCUCAGACUGCAAUUGCUCAGUUCCUGUUUCCUCCUGCCUUAUAUUCCAGCCAUAUCAUCCUAUUUCCAGCUUCCGAGUUCUGGGAUUAAAGAUCUAGGUUGAAAUCCUCAACUCGAUUGAAGUCAGUACUGGAAGCUCUGGUUGGAGUGUCAGUUGAAACGGAGUAAGUUGGAUCCAGUGCAGUCUAGGGGUUAUGGCCCAAUUUUUUUUCCGGAGCAUCCAGGGAUUGCUGUCAGGCGGGUCUUCAUUGGCUGUGUGGGACUCAAACUUCUUGGGCACCAGACCAAUAAAAUGGGCAGGAACCCAUGCUAUUUGCAGAGGAAAAUGGGGCGAAAAGCACUUCCGGCGUACAUUGUCCAUAUAAAUUAUACUUGUUUGCAAUUCAUCGACUCAUUCUUUCUUUUAUAUCCAUAUGUAAUGUAAACGAUCAUCUUUCUCUGAAGCUCAAUAAUGAUGCACAACUCAAAAUGUGAUAGAAUCAGCUAAAAGAAAGCAGAUGGAAGAUUUUUUCCUCUAUAUGCAUAUUCAUAAGAAUACAGAGAACUCAACAAAAGGAGAUACAUAAGAGCUCAUACCCGGAGGCUACAUGGACUUAUGUAUGGCAGUAACUUGUUUUUCUGCAACUGUUUGUUCUUCAAACCUUUACUCAUUUCUUCCUGAAGCAGUCACUAAAAAUGCACUGGGAAAAAAAACUGCUUCCCUCUAUACAAACAAACAUAUCCCCCUUUGAAUUUUUAUUAUACCUUUGGAUUCAAGAUUCAGGAAGUAAUAUUUGUGUACUUUACUAGAGACCACAAUUAGAAAGCAAACCGCACACCAAAGUGAGAUCUUAAGGGCUGCUUUAGCAAUGCAAGCUACAGACAUUUCCAAUCACACUAUUAUGUGACCCCCCCCCAAAAAAAAAUGAUAGAAAAUAAUAGUGAACUGCCUGGAUCAUGUUUGUCUCUGUUUUUAAAUGUCUAUAAUUAAUUAGAGAUGAAGGAAGUUCAUUUGUUGUACCUA